CCUACGGGAGGCUGCCGUGGGGAAUAUUGGACAAUGGGGGGAACCCUGAUCCAGCCAUGCCGCGUGUGUGAAGAAGGCCCUCGGGUUGUAAAGCACUUUCAGUGAGGAAGAACGCCUGGUGGUUAAUACCCAUCAGGAAAGACAUCACUCACAGAAGAAGCACCGGCUAACUCCGUGCCAGCAGCCGCGGUAAUACGGAGGGUGCGAGCGUUAAUCGGAAUUACUGGGCGUAAAGCGCGCGUAGGUGGCUUGAUAAGCCGGUUGUGAAAGCCCCGGGCUCAACCUGGGAACGGCAUCCGGAACUGUCAAGCUAGAGUGCAGGAGAGGAAGGUAGAAUUCCCGGUGUAGCGGUGAAAUGCGUAGAGAUCGGGAGGAAUACCAGUGGCGAAGGCGGCCUUCUGGACUGACACUGACACUGAGGUGCGAAAGCGUGGGUAGCAAACAGGAUUAGAUACCCCUGUAGUC
This 465-nucleotide ribosomal RNA is filed under the name Vreelandella stevensii. Its description in RNAcentral is "partial 16S ribosomal RNA". It matches the Rfam family "Bacterial small subunit ribosomal RNA", at positions 338 to 795 of the family's 1533-position model. The record is from RNAcentral. Lineage: Bacteria; Pseudomonadati; Pseudomonadota; Gammaproteobacteria; Oceanospirillales; Halomonadaceae.